CUUCACCGAGCCCAGCCACAGCGGCUGUUCGCGGUCCUGCCCGUACGUCGCCAGCAGCGCCUGGGCCUC
Non-coding RNA from Streptomyces rubellomurinus, 69 nucleotides. It matches the Rfam family "ASpks TB sRNA". The record is from Rfam. NCBI's taxonomy places the organism in Bacteria, Bacillati, Actinomycetota, Actinomycetes, Kitasatosporales, Streptomycetaceae.